ACGAAGGCUUCGGCCUUAGUGGCGCACGGGUGCGUAACGCGUGGGAAUCUGCCCUUGGGUUCGGAAUAACAGUUGGAAACGACUGCUAAUACCGGAUGAUGUCGCGAGACCAAAGAUUUAUCGCCCAGGGAUGAGCCCGCGUCGGAUUAGGUAGUUGGUGGGGUAAAGGCCUACCAAGCCGACGAUCCGUAGCUGGUCUGAGAGGAUGAUCAGCCACACUGGGACUGAGACACGGCCCAGACUCCUACGGGAGGCAGCAGUGGGGAAUAUUGGACAAUGGGCGAAAGCCUGAUCCAGCAAUGCCGCGUGAGUGAUGAAGGCCUUAGGGUUGUAAAGCUCUUUUGCCCGGGAUGAUAAUGACAGUACCGGGAGAAUAAGCUCCGGCUAACUCCGUGCCAGCAGCCGCGGUAAUACGGAGGGAGCUAGCGUUGUUCGGAAUUACUGGGCGUAAAGCGCACGUAGGCGGCUUUGUAAGUCAGGGGUGAAAGCCUGGAGCUCAACUCCAGAACUGCCUUUGAGACUG
This 523-nucleotide ribosomal RNA is filed under the name Sphingomonas ginsenosidimutans. RNAcentral describes it as "bacterial SSU rRNA". It matches the Rfam family "Bacterial small subunit ribosomal RNA", at positions 66 to 635 of the family's 1533-position model. The record is from RNAcentral. Lineage: Bacteria; Pseudomonadati; Pseudomonadota; Alphaproteobacteria; Sphingomonadales; Sphingomonadaceae.